This 460-nucleotide ribosomal RNA is filed under the name uncultured bacterium. RNAcentral describes it as "partial 16S ribosomal RNA". It matches the Rfam family "Bacterial small subunit ribosomal RNA", at positions 338 to 795 of the family's 1533-position model. The record is from RNAcentral.
CCUACGGGAGGCAGCAGUGAGGAAUAUUGGUCAAUGGGCGCGAGCCUGAACCAGCCAAGUAGCGUGAAGGAUGACUGCCCUACGGGUUGUAAACUUCUUUUAUAAAGGAAUAAAGUGAGGCACGUGUGCCUUUUUGUAUGUACUUUAUGAAUAAGGAUCGGCUAACUCCGUGCCAGCAGCCGCGGUAAUACGGAGGAUCCGAGCGUUAUGCGGAUUUAUUGGGUUUAAAGGGAGCGUAGUUGGGUUGUUAAGUCAGUUGUGAAAGUUUGCGGCUAAACCGUAAAAUUGCAAUUGAGACUGGCAGCCUAGAGUACAGUAGAGGUAGGCGGAAUUCGUGGUGUAGCGGUGAAAUGCUUAGAUAUCACGAAGAACACCGAUUGCGAAGGCAGCCUACUAAACUGCCACUGACAUUGAUGCUCGAAAGUGUGGGUAUCAAACAGGAUUAGAUACCCCUGUAGUC